This 260-nucleotide ribosomal RNA is filed under the name uncultured prokaryote. RNAcentral describes it as "partial 16S ribosomal RNA". It matches the Rfam family "Bacterial small subunit ribosomal RNA", at positions 524 to 782 of the family's 1533-position model. The record is from RNAcentral.
UACGUAGGGUGCGAGCGUUGUCCGGAAUUACUGGGCGUAAAGAGCUCGUAGGUGGUUUGUCACGUCGUCUGUGAAAUUCCGGGGCUUAACCUCGGGCGUGCAGGCGAUACGGGCAAUACUUGAGUGCUGUAGGGGAGACUGGAAUUCCUGGUGUAGCGGUGAAAUGCGCAGAUAUCAGGAGGAACACCAAUGGCGAAGGCAGGUCUCUGGGCAGUAACUGACGCUGAGGAGCGAAAGCAUGGGUAGCGAACAGGAUUAGA